AGCCCAGAAUGAUGAAUUCUGUGUGGGAAGUACCAGGGAUUUCAACAGGACUAACACGAACAGAGUUUUACAUCUUAAAAAGAGAUGGAGGAGGGAAAAAGAAAUACAAGGAUAAAAAACCUAUACUGUUAUUGCAUUCUGGGAGGCUGCAUGGCUUGAAUGGAUAAUGACUCCUCUGCCCAAUCGAUGGUCUCAUUGCAUUCAAAAGAAGUCAGUAUGGAUGAAAUCACAGCUCAGAUUCAGAAUCUGUAAUGAAGCUGUCAGGGUCUGGGGAAGAAGCCUGUUUGCCUGCUGGAAGCUCAGGGUCUUCAGAAAAAUCUUACUGCUUGGCUGCUUGUGAGGCCCAGUGACUGCUGCAUUUGUCAGAAGUCUGUUCAAAUAUGAAUUUUAAAAAGUGUUUGUGGUACAUUCCCUGAGUCAGAGCCACAGCAUGAGAUCUAGCAGGAACACAUGCUCUUAAUCAUCUAAGGCAGCCCAGGGAAGCUAUGUGGCAGAGGAAACAGCAGGAGUUUCUAAUAUGCAUCUAAUAAGUCUCAUGGACCAGCCUCUCGUAUCUUCCCUGGUGCUCCCUGGGGCUGUCUGCCCCGUGGGCAAGGGAACCAAACCCAGCUCUGACAUAAACCCUGCUGAUUUCUGCAGCAUCUCCUCAGAAAUUACCUUGGCCCAAGCUGAACACUUCAAAUUGACCUAUUGGGAAAGAAUUAAGGAUGGGGGAGAAAUACUGAUGGAGAUCUGAAGUUUGUGGGUCUCCUUUACAUUGUUAACUGUUCAGCAACAGCUUCUGCACAGUUUCAAAAUAAAAAGCAGUCAGAAGCA
Haemorhous mexicanus (house finch) is the source of this 816-nucleotide long non-coding RNA. RefSeq lists it as uncharacterized. Lineage: Eukaryota; Metazoa; Chordata; Aves; Passeriformes; Fringillidae. The record is from RefSeq and is a predicted model, not a curated record. The transcript is spliced from 2 exons.